CGUAGGGAGUGAGGUGAGGUCAUAACUCCGAAGCCCUCGUGACUGCCACCUUUGCACAAAUGGAGUGACUUGUCCCUGGGUCUCAGAGCAGCAAGCUAUGGUCUGCAAAGAAUGCAGAGAGAGGUAGUUCCAUGAGUUUUUACGGGAAGCAGAGAAGAAGUCACAACGUUUGGCAUUUUUCAGAUUGAACUGCAAGGUCUUGGACUUCAGUCUGUGCUCAGCUCUGGGGCAGCCAAACCUUUGCUCGGAGGAAAGGAGAAAGAACCUUCCCUGCUAAUGUCACUGUCUCGGGCGAGAGUUUGGACCAGAAGCAGUCGCAGCAUCGGAGCCUCUCCCCAUGGCAAGCAGCUGCUGUUAUAACACCAUGAUUAAAGCCUUUUGUUAAUUUCCCUCACGCUUUAUCUUUCUUAUUUUCUUUCCCACAGCUGCCUGGCCCUCUUUCUGGGCCAGCCUGACAAUCUGAAAUAACAGAAUAAUAGAAUUUCUGAAAUCCCAGCUUUCUCUGUUCCCAGAGACCAUUUUGCUCACUGGGGACCAGUGAGUUAUUUCAGAACACAGGGCCGCUAUGAAGCUGAGGCAGAGAGGCCUCUGUGACCUGUUACAAUGAAGGACAAUUCAUCAAAUCAGAAGGACACCUUCAAUUUCAUCAAGAUCCUUUUCUAAAGGUAAGAAGUUGAGACUUGGAGCAGGUGACAGUUGGCCUUGGGCCACCCACAGGACUACAAAGACCCUAUUGAGUCUUCUGGCUCACCCCAGCACCCCACAUGGCCUCCAGAUGGUGGGAACUUGUCUGCUGCUUUGUAACACACAGAACUCUCGGCCCAGGGUCCCACCGCUGCUUGGCCAGGUAGCUGCUCUAACCCAGGUGGGAUGACACAUCCGGGGGGGAGCGCAGGGACAGAGGCAGCGCCAGCCCCAUCACCGGCAGGCCCGAGUGCAAAAUGGCAGCAUAGACACCUUUUCCCCAAAGCACAGGGAAAGCUGCUUCCUUCCCUGCUAUCUCCCUCUUAACCUGUCAUGCCAUUGUUUUAUUUGCUGUGUGGCGGUGUGCUCCCUGGGACCUGGGGAUUCACACAGACCUCUCUGGAAGUCUCUCAUGCCAUCCCCUGACACCCCGAUUCCCCCAGCUUCUGCCUCAUUCCCGACCCCAUCCUGUCAGGAAUAGAGCAUGCUGAGCUCUAUUGUCCCUCAGGACUUCACAGACAGACCACGGAGUCAGAGAGCAAAGUGUUAAGAAGUCCAAGGUGGAGCAUUAACCUCCUGGGGCAGGGUCCCCUCUGCAUGCAGGAGUCGGUGAAGAAACACGUUUGGGAACAAAGCCUGAGGGUGCCCACAGCUCCACACUGCUUUGGGCUGCUGGUCCGAGACAGCAUCUAACUGGCUGGCGGGAAUCGUCAAUGGGGCUGACGGGGCCUGCGUCUGAGAGGGGUCUCUGCAGAGCCCGGGGCCUCUGGGGGGGCAGGCCGGGGACUGGCUCUGCCUCACGGCUCGUUAGCUUGGUGGCCCAGCGCCCGGAGGUGGGUGGGAAGGAACAGGUGGCUACUCUCUGGAACAUCAUAAAACCCCUGCAAAGCUGAUGCUUCAUUUUCAAAGACAGUUGCCAAAUUCUUGCCCUUGAAAGAAUUUUCCAGGUCUUUCUAAAAGGAAAAGGUUUAAUUUAGAGAAUGAGGGAGGUGAUGGGAAGACUUGGCACAGGUUAGUCAGGUCAAAGCUCCAAAGUCUCUGAAGAGACAAGGGAUAUUACAAGAACCUUUUCCAAAGACAAAGGUUCCCACUUGUGCAAAGCAAAUAAUCUGAAACAUGGCUAGAAAAUUCUCAGCGUUGGGGAAUUUCCCCGUUAUUUCCUCCCAUGAACAUCCCUUCUGCAUCUGGGUAACUAAGAAUCCACAGGACACAGUGUGGGCCCGUAGCCCUUACAGCUUAGAGUAAACCAUGCUGUGCCGACUUGGUUCAGCUCCUCACCCCAACCGCAGCCCCUGGGCAGGGGACAGUGUCUGGACACUUUGUGCCCAUUGGACCUCCCAUUGGCCUGUCCUUAGCUCUGCUUGGGCUGAGCCUCAGAUCUAUCGACAGCCAGCAGAGCACUGAGUCAUCCGCCUCUUUUUCAACCACGACAUAUUUCUGGGAAUGUGAAGCACAUUUGAACGGCGACGUGACAUUCCUUACCUCACAGCAGAAAGUCAACUGCCCACUUCCUUUCUAGUCACGUUGCAUCAUCUUUCGGAACAGGACUAAACAAAUUUACUUGAAAUUGACAUGCCUUCAGGAAAGAAAGGCUAGGAGCACAUGUUUGAGCCCCGCCCCUCUCCUAGGGAAGAGCAGGGUUAUCCCACCCGAAGGGAGAGGCAGGCAGGCCCCCUGCAGCUGCUCUGCCUUUGCGAGGGCAAGAAAGAGGUGUCUGCGUUCCACGCCCAUCUCGCGGUGACAAAGGUGGUCAUGUGACCUCCAUCCCAGGCCUUUGUGGAUACAUCAGUUCUAGUAAUGGGCUCUGCAGCUCUUGAAAUUCUUUGUCAUCUCAGAAUACGUUAUGGAAAAGGUAACUAGUCUCUGUACAAACCUUUGGCCUGUGGGUAAGCUUUUGCACAUCUGAAUCCCAGAAAAAUAUCCUUUCUUUUUUUUUUCUUCUGAGACAGAGCCUCAAGCUAUUGCCCUGGGUAGAGUACACAGCUCACAGCAACCUUCAACUCCUGGGCUCAAGCAAUUCUCCUGCCUCCGCCUUCCAAGUAGCUGGAACUACAGGCGCCAGCUACAAGGCCCAGCUAUUUUUUGGUUGCAGCUGUCAUUGUUGUUUGGUGGGCCCGGGCUGGAUUUGAACCUGCCAGCUCAGGUGUACGUGGCUGGCGCCUUAGCCUCUUGAGUCAUAGGCACCAAGCCAAAAAAACAUCAUUUAUUAACAGGACGUUGAACAAUCUUCAAGAGCUUGGGGAGGGAGCUGAGGGUGGGUGGACGAUGCACAGGUGAACAGAAAAGGCAUCGGCUCCCAAGGACUCAGCCUGGUGGGGGUGACAGCCCUGGAGCCAGCUGUAGGUGGAGGGGUCCACACCGAGGGGCUGCUGAAUGCCACCUGGAGAGGACCAGGAAGGCGAGCUCCAGAGGGAUGUCUGAGCAGGUGAGGCUGCUGGGAUCCUGAGAAACAGUCUCUAUGCAGGUGUGGGCGCUUACAAAGAGGGUCGGAAGAGCACAGAGAAGGGAGAGACACCAGGUCGCCAGGUUGGAGCAGAGCUUGGAAAGAGCUCGAAGGGAGGGUGAGGUGCAGGCCAGUGAGCAGCCUGGCUGGAGACAGCCCCUUGAGAUGGACUUACAGAGCCCUCAGAAACCACCACACUGGGACAAUGUCAGGUUUGGAGUGGUGGCAAGUCAUCCUGCAUCUUGGGCAGAGAGUGACAUGCUCCAGUCGUGCCAUAGAAAUGUCAUCCUGGCAGAAAUUUGAAAAGGUUGACGGUGGGGACCAACUGGGAGGCCAAGUCUGUGCUGCAAGUGGGCGGGAACAGGCUUGAGUGGCAGACGGCAAUAAUUAUGCCAGUGGUGCUAAUUGCAAUUGCCCUUGAGGAGGGCCAACCUGCAGCGGGCACCUGCACAAGCUAUCUCAGUUUGCAUCAGAGCCGCGGCCCUCCAGAUGAAGAAGCUGAGGCUCAGAAAGGGAGACAGCUGCUCACGGCCAUAGCAGCACGGCGGGGCUGGCUGCAGCCUCCCCCUGUCCCGGGGGAUAACAGAGCUGCUUGAGUUGCCAUGGAGGGGGAGGAGGUGCCCUGCUGGUUUCUGCCUGAUGUCUCGGAGGACAGGUGAUGGGAUGAAGAUGAGACCAGGCAAGUAGGGGAGGAGGAAUUUGCAACUAGGUUGGGUGGGACCAGAUGAAAACUGGACACCAGCAAGCACCGUGGUUGCUGCUGACAGUCUGUGGUUGCAGCCCUAGGCCAGAGGUUCACGUAACAGAUUCCGGCUAGGGAAGACGUUUGUACCCAUCACCAAGAAAAAAAGCAAGGUGCAAACAGCAUUCUCGGAGGUGCCUGAGCGUUUGUUGUGUGCUAGCCACCGGCUAAACGCUUGCUAUGUGCCUUCAUGACAGUCUGUGCCGGGGCGCCACUGGCAUCUUCAGGAACACACGUUGAGUAACUUGCCCAGGGCCACAGAGCCAGUAAGCAGUAACCCUGUGCUCAGCUGAAGGCUAACUUCCAAGUUCAUCUGCAAAGACAGAGAUGGGAAGAAUUCACCUCUGGGGUUAUAAAGCUAUUUGCUGGAAUGCUUCACAUGCCCUUUUGUUUGCUUAUAUGUAUUUUGUAAACGGUGGAUAGUUAGUACUAGUUAAAAUUAGUACACAGUAGUGUUAGCAGCAGUAUUUUGGUACUAGGAGAAAGAAGUUUGAAGAAAGCAAAAAGGUGAAAUAUAAACUGGUAGACAUUUUGGAACACAAUUUGCUAUUGUCUACCAAAAAUUGAAAACGUGGCACAUUCUUCAACCCUGCGAUUCCAAUCAAAUAGGCAGAAACAUACAUUAAAUUGUCUAAAGCAGUAAAUUAAAGAAAUGUGGACGUACUUCCAAGGUCCACUAAUAAAGAAUUGAAAUAAAUUUUGGCUCAGCCAUCCAGCUGAAUCUAAUGCUAGGUAACACCAAAGAGGAGCCAUUUAGAUUACCGUGAGGACAUAAAGAUUGUUUGCUAUAUAUACACACACGUAGUGUACACAGGGAGAAAGUGUGUUAAUCUCAAUUGUGGUUAAAAAAAAAGUUUUUCAUGAAUAAACAUUUGGGGUGGCUCCUGUGGCUCAAAGGAGUAGGGCACCGGCCCCAUAUACCGGAGGUGGCAGGUUCAAACCCGGCCCUAGCAAAAAACUGCAAACAAACUGCACACAAAUAUUUGUCUAAUGUUGAUUGUGAUAAAUGUUGGUUGGAGCUUGUGUCACAGAGAGGAAAUCAAGCUGCUUAGUAGCUGGUACUCGUGAGGUGAGAGGGUUCAAAGGAUAUACACGGGAACGCUUUGUGGCUUUCAUUUUUCUUUUCAAGUAUCUGAAGUUUUUCUAGUUUUUUUUUUCCUACAGUAAAAAUGGAGAGAAAUAUUACUUGGAGAGAAAUAUUUAACUAUUUAAAGCAAAAAAGAAACAGCGCAUGUGGAGGUAAGGGCGUGUGCACUCAAGGACUCAGGACGGAGGAUCUUCUGGAAGAGUCUAGUAGCAGCUGCCUCCGAAAGACCCAGCUGGAUGAAGACCGAGGUGAGCCGAGGAGGACGGCAUCAAUGAUCUUUCGUAUCUUAUGGGACACAUUUCUUUAUUGCGGUUUAUCUCCAGCCAUCUUCCUCUCCCAGCCCAGACCCGCCUCCAUCAUUAUCUGGACGUUCAUGCCCCACAUAGAACUACCCCCCUCUCCUCCCCUUGCUCUGCCCCAAUCAGACGGGCAGACCCAGGCUCACUCACCUGUAUCCCCCACCUUCUUGGGUUGCGCUACCGCCCUCCCAAAUUGAGUGUCCUUCCAGAUUCUUUCCCCCCUUCCCUACGCAUGUUUAAAUGAUUCUUUAAAUAUCACAUUAAGCCAAUGGUUCUCAACCUUCCUAAUGCCGCGGCCCUUUAAUACAGUUCCUGUGGGUCGCGACCCACAGGUUGAGAACCGCUGCUCUCCUCUCUCUCCUCCAGCCUACUGCCUUCCUCACACCUCCCCUCACCACACCUGGAGUCCCCCACGCCAGGCCCAUCCACACCUGCUCCUCCAUUGGACCCUUUCAUUCACACUCCACCCCAUACCCUGCAGAAUUAAGUCUUCCAUGUUGCAAACGAUGAAACAAUAGCAGCAGUGCACAUAAAACUUGUUUUUUAUUUCCAUUCAAUUAUUUCCGUAGGUUAAAUUCCCAGGAUCGGAAUUUCGGGGUUGAAGGGUGUGGGGAUAUUUUUAUACAUGAACUUGUCCACAUUUCUGAAAUGAAUAUAAAUGCCCUGCUCCCUCCCCCUUCUUCUCCAGGAUAAAUAUUGUUAGGGAAUGUAGAAAAAAAUCUUAAUUUUUAUGCCCUGACUCUGCCUGUGUUUUU
This is a long non-coding RNA of Nycticebus coucang (slow loris), 6010 nucleotides long. RefSeq lists it as uncharacterized. Lineage: Eukaryota; Metazoa; Chordata; Mammalia; Primates; Lorisidae. The transcript has 4 exons. The record is from RefSeq and is a predicted model, not a curated record.